AUAUGCUUGUCUCAAAGAUUAAGCCAUGCAUGUCUCAGUACAAGCCACAUUAAGGUGAAACCGCGAAAGGCUCAUUAAAUCAGUUAUGGUUCCUUAGAUCGUACCCACAUUUACUUGGAUAACUGUGGUAAUUCUAGAGCUAAUACAUGCAAACAGAGUUCCGACCGGAGACGGGAGGAAUGCUUUUAUUAGAUCAAAACCAAUCGGCGGCGGGUGCGUUCGCGCGUCCGUUCGCCGCUCAACCUGGUGACUCUGAAUAACUUUCGGCUGAUCGCACGGUCCAGCACCGGCGACGCAUCUUUCAAAUGUCUGCCUUAUCAACUGUCGAUGGUAGGUUCUGCGCCUACCAUGGUCGUAACGGGUAACGGGGAAUCAGGGUUCGAUUCCGGAGAGGGAGCCUGAGAAACGGCUACCACAUCCAAGGAAGGCAGCAGGCGCGCAAAUUACCCACUCCCGGCACGGGGAGGUAGUGACGAAAAAUAACGAUACGGGACUCAUCCGAGGCCCCGUAAUCGGAAUGAGUACACUUUAAAUCCUUUAACGAGGAUCAAUUGGAGGGCAAGUCUGGUGCCAGCAGCCGCGGUAAUUCCAGCUCCAAUAGCGUAUAUU
RNAcentral lists this ribosomal RNA (609 nucleotides) under Copelatus sp. MB0787. RNAcentral's name for it is "SSU rRNA". It matches the Rfam family "Eukaryotic small subunit ribosomal RNA", at positions 26 to 605 of the family's 1831-position model. Lineage: Eukaryota; Metazoa; Arthropoda; Insecta; Coleoptera; Dytiscidae. The record is from RNAcentral.